Molecule: unclassified non-coding RNA, 336 nt
Filed under: soil metagenome
Description: partial contains 5.8S ribosomal RNA, internal transcribed spacer 2, and large subunit ribosomal RNA
Rfam family: 5.8S ribosomal RNA (bases 1-120)
Source: RNAcentral
GAUGAAGAACGUAGCGAAAUGCGAUAAGUAGUGUGAAUUGCAGAAUUCAGUGAAUCAUCGAAUCUUUGAACGCACAUUGCGCCCCUUGGUAUUCCAUGGGGCAUGGCUGUUCGAGCGUCAUUUGUACCUUCAAGCUUUGCUUGGUGUUGGGUGUUUGUCUCGCCUUUGCGUGUAGACUCGCCUUAAAAUAAUUGGCAGCCGGCGUAUUGAUUUCGGAGCGCAGUACAUCUCGCGCUUUGCACUCAUAACGACAGCGUCCAAAAGUACAUUUUACACUCUUGACCUCGGAUCAGGUAGGGAUACCCGCUGAACUUAAGCAUAUCAAUAAGCGGAGGA